GCAGAAUCUGUAGACGCCGAAACGGCCCAGCCGCCGACAACGUCUUUCGGCAUGUUUAUCUUUUCAUCGCUUACUUUACGCUUUUAAUUUAGUGGCGGAAAAGUUGGAUCGUGGGAGCUUUUUCUGCCGCUGUUGACGCCGACUGCGCAAGAUUCGAGACCAUACUAUUAUCUUUUGCGGUGAAUAAAGACGGCGGUAUCGGGAUUUCUUGAAAUGAAGCCCGGAGACAGCCAGCUGGUCGAAGCUGUUCGUAAGCAGGAGGCACUUUGGAAUGUGCGGCAGGCAGCAUAUCACCAGCGCAAGCACAAGCUGCGGCUAGGCUAUGGGCGGAGGUGGCGGCAGAGACCGGACGAAAUGUUGCUGAUGUAAAGUCAAGAUGGAAGUCCAUCCGGGACUAUUUUAUGAAGUGUCGGCAGGCCCCGCCGAGCGGCUCUGCUGCCAGCUCGACCACCGACGGCGCCACGCAGAGGGAGCUGAGUUUCCUCAAUGAUUCUGUCAAGCCAAAGCCGAGAACCCUGACAUAGAAGAAGAACACUCUGGUGAUCCAUGGCUCGUAUUCUCGGAAGUGGACGACGAGUGGGAGCAGGACUCCGCACCCCGCGCUUGCAAGGCGCCCCGGCGCCGUGCAAGGCGCCGAACAACAACAACACAACAGGAGAACACGGCGGCUGCAGACAAUCGUCGUCGUAGGACUCGCAGACGGCAGAACUUCCCCAUGCCCUAGACGGCAACCACGUCCUCCUGUAGCGCCAGCAGACGUAGGUGGCGAACAGCUGCACUUGCAGCGCAGCUGACUGCAGCUCAGACAGCGUGCUCCAUCUGCCAUGGUACAGCGCCCUCACCGGUGA
This is an RNA transcript of Amphibalanus amphitrite, 848 nucleotides long. RefSeq lists it as uncharacterized. The transcript is spliced from 5 exons. NCBI's taxonomy places the organism in Eukaryota, Metazoa, Arthropoda, Thecostraca, Balanomorpha, Balanidae. The record is from RefSeq and is a predicted model, not a curated record.